Phacochoerus africanus (Common warthog) is the source of this 997-nucleotide long non-coding RNA. RefSeq lists it as uncharacterized. The transcript is spliced from 7 exons. Lineage: Eukaryota; Metazoa; Chordata; Mammalia; Artiodactyla; Suidae. The record is from RefSeq and is a predicted model, not a curated record.
UGGCCUGGGAAGGCGGCUCAAGCAAGGAGCAGACACCGAUCUUGUUGGCCACGGUGCCCGUCACCACCUCGCUGCCAUACAAGUCGAAGAGGCCAAAACUAAGGCUCAGAAGAGUCAAGUAAUCAUACAAGGUCACAGAGCCAAUAAGAGGCGGAGCCAAGAUUAACACCCAGGCCGACCCCAGAGACAUCCUGAUGUUUUCUUGGAAAAUCAGAAUUUAGAGGCACCCAGAAGCCAGGGUCCCCUGAGGGGCCCUGGAGGAAGCCAGAGGCGGCCUGCCCCCAGCAGUGGGCAGUGCAUGUCCCCUGGCUGCCACUGGCUGCCACUGAGGAUGGGGAGGGAGUCCCAGGUGCCUGGAAAGAUCCUCCCACAGGCCAGCCCCGCAGAACCAGGCCUGUACGGGUGUCCAGGAGCACCAUGAAGCCCGAGGAGAAGCCGGCCACGACACUCCGGCCGCUGGGGCUGACAGCCAGGGAGCGAACCAGACCAGGGUUCAGCCCGCCGCUCAGGCGGAACUCAUGCUGCGGGCAGAGGAAGACAGCUGAGGUUUUAUUGAAGUACAGUGGAUUCGGAAUGCUGUGAUCAUUUCCGCCGUGUGACAAAGUGAUGUCAUUACAUGUGUACCUCCACUCUCGGCGUUUUAACCUUCCCUCUCCCUCUGAGGAUGACCAAAAACAAGCGAGCGACUGUUUACCACACAGACGGGAAAACUGAUGCUUCCGGCAGCAAAAUGGCAGAGCCGAUUCAAACUCAGGGAAAACGUGGAUUCAUUCCUUCACUGUGCACACGUGAGCACCUUCCACAUGUGCUGGGGGCCUUGAUGGGCAUCAGAAUCAGAAUGGCGAACAAGGGAGUUCCUGUCGUGGCUCAGCGCUCGUCCAGCACGGUGGGGUCCACCAGCCGCAGCUGCCCGUCAGAGAAGGCCACCUCCGGCAGCUGGCCCUCACUGCGGCCCAUGGGCUCCAGCUUCCGAUCCUGCGGGCAGGAAGCCCAGGGA